UUGGAGGGCAAGUCUGGUGCCAGCAGCCGCGGUAAUUCCAGCUCCAAUAGCGUAUAUUAAAGUUGCUGCAGUUAAAAAGCUCGUAGUUGAAUUUCGGGACCAAUAUGUCGGUCGUGCCUCGGUACGUACUGGCAUCGUUGGUUUCUCCCUUCUGACGAACCAUGAUGUCAUUUAUUUGGUGUCGUGGGGAAUCAGGACUGUUACUUUGAAAAAAUUAGAGUGUUUAAAGCAAGCUAACGCUUGAAUACAUUAGCAUGGAAUAAUGAAAUAGGACGUUUGAUUCUAUUUUGUUGGUUUCUAGGAUCGAUGUAAUGAUUAAUAGGGAUAGUUGGGGGCAUUAGUAUUCAAUUGUCAGAGGUGAAAUUCUUGGAUUUAUUGAAGACUAACUACUGCGAAAGCAUUUGCCAAGGAUGUUUUCAUUAAUCAAGAACGAAAGUUAGGGGAUCGAAGACGAUCAGAUACUGUCGUAGUCUUAACCAUAAACUAUGCCGACUAGGGAUCGGAUGAUGUUAAUUUUUUAAUGACUCANUCGGCGCCUUACGGGAAACAA
RNAcentral lists this ribosomal RNA (550 nucleotides) under uncultured Glomus. RNAcentral describes it as "SSU rRNA". It matches the Rfam family "Eukaryotic small subunit ribosomal RNA", at positions 548 to 1100 of the family's 1831-position model. Lineage: Eukaryota; Fungi; Glomeromycota; Glomeromycetes; Glomerales; Glomeraceae. The record is from RNAcentral.